Molecule: ribosomal RNA, 253 nt
Filed under: uncultured bacterium
Lineage: Bacteria
Description: partial 16S ribosomal RNA
Rfam family: Bacterial small subunit ribosomal RNA
Source: RNAcentral
UACGAAAGGGGCUAGCGUUGUUCGGAAUUACUGGGCGUAAAGCGCACGUAGGCGGCAUUGUAAGAUGGGGGUGAAAUCCCCGGGCUCAACCCGGGAACUGCCUUCAUGACUGCAAAGCUCGAGGAUGUGAGAGGUUGGCGGAAUUCCGAGUGUAGAGGUGAAAUUCGUAGAUAUUCGGAAGAACACCGGUGGCGAAGGCGGCCAACUGGCACAUUUCUGACGCUGAGGUGCGAAAGCGUGGGGAGCAAACAGG